Molecule: non-coding RNA, 209 nt
Filed under: Hominimerdicola alba
Lineage: Bacteria; Bacillati; Bacillota; Clostridia; Eubacteriales; Oscillospiraceae
Description: Ruminococcus albus T-box sequence
Rfam family: T-box leader
About the family: Uncharged tRNA acts as the effector for transcription antitermination of genes in the T-box leader family.
Source: RNAcentral
AUAAAUGCUUUGACGGAGCAAAGUAGUCUGGUAGGCGCAUUUUCAGAGAGUCUGCGGCAGGUGUGAGCAGGCAGCGUCCCACGAUGAAGUUACUCUCCCGAGCUUUCGGCUUGAAAUCUCAGUAGGGCUGAACGUUUCCCGCGUUAAGGGCAAUGAGGUCGGCGUAUGCCGAUAAACUGAGGUGGUACCGCGUAAAUUUCGCCCUCGGA